AAUGAACGUUGGCGGCGUGGAUUAGGCAUGCAAGUCGGACGGGCCGCAAGGCCAGUGGCGCAAGGGUGAGUAAGGCGACGGUAACCAACCCCAGAGACGGGCAUAGCCGGGGGAAACCCCGGGUAAUUCCCGGCGACAUGGCGACCCGGCAUCGGGAUGCCAUCAAAGAUUCAUCGCUCUGGGACGGGCCGUCGUGGUAUUAGGUUGUUGGCGGGGUGACGGCCCACCAAGCCUGCGAUGCCUACCGGGCGUGCGAGCGUGGCCCGGCACACUGGGACUGAGACACUGCCCAGACUCCUACGGGAGGCUGCAGUCGAGAAUCUUCGGCAAUGGGCGCAAGCCUGACCGAGCGACGCCGCGUGGAGGACGAAGGCCUUCGGGUUGUAAACUCCUGUCGAGGGGGAGGAAGCUUCGGUUGACCGAACCCUGGAGGAAGCACGGGCUAAGUUCGUGCCAGCAGCCGCAGUAACAC
This 472-nucleotide ribosomal RNA is filed under the name uncultured bacterium. RNAcentral's name for it is "bacterial SSU rRNA". It matches the Rfam family "Bacterial small subunit ribosomal RNA", at positions 28 to 526 of the family's 1533-position model. The record is from RNAcentral.